CCUGAGGUCCUGAAUCAGCAGAGCAGGAAGGAAAUCAAACGGCCACAGAUCUGUCAAAGAGGAAGGAGACAACUGGAAGGCAGAAUCCAUACCUAUCGGGACGGGUCUAAGAAGAAACUGCCUCGAGUCCCAUCAUCUGUGAAUAGAGGCAGAGACCCCGGAUCAAGGGUCCAGCAAUGCUGCUUCCUAAGAUCAAAUGACCCUGGGUGAGUCCUUUACCUCUCUCUGCUGUAGUUUCCCCAUCUGUAAAAUGGAAAUGAUAAAAUAGCCUUUCCCGUUGACUGUUGUGAGGAUCAUGGACAUCUGAGCUUAGCUAAAUUAAUAAUUAAUAUCAAACGAGCAAACCAACAAACAAAUCAGAAACACCUGCUAGCCUUUUUUUUGGCAUUUGCGAUGGAACCAAGAUUUCUUGCACAGGAAAAGGGCACCCAGAUCCUAUCGCCGAUGGACCUGAGGGCCACAAGCCAAAAUCCCAUAUCAGGUAACUCUUCAGUAGAAAGGGUCAAGGCUCCUCACAUUUUCUAUCUACAGCCCCGUUGUAUACCGAAGAUUCCCUGGAAACUGAUUUUCCAUUUUUAUAUAAAGUCCUGCAAACAAAGAACGCUCCCCGUUCAAAUACCUUGAGCCCAUUUCUUCUGCCGUUUCUGAUGCUAUAGGGUUAAUCCAGUAUGAAGAGAGUGACAAAGGGGGGGGCGGGGGGUUGGUUGGUUUUUGUUUUAUAGAUUCCACAUUCAUAACCAACUACUUGGCAACCGGCCCUCUCAUAUGUUGCAAAACAAAAAUGUGUUGCCUUCAGUGUGUUUUUAAUAGGCUAAGCAGUUUAUUUGAUCACAGAGCUUGGGUCUAGACUCACAAACACCAGAACUUUCCCACUGUGUUGUCACUGCUUUGGUUAGUAUCUUGGUUUCCCCUCUGUCUUUCUAAAGAACCAUUUGGGGACUCGGGAUACUGAUUCCUGGGAGCAGCUACGGGCCCUUGACCACGACCUACACUCUUCAAAGGAAUCCGCAUCCAGGCUUGCAAAAUACCGUGCGAAACUUGCAAAAAGUCACCAGUUUUAAAUUUUGAAAUUACUGGCACUGGCAGGCAUCAACCAUCGAGAAAUUCUCCUGAGUGGGGUAGAGCAAAUUUCUAGAAACAAAGUAAGCUUCGAUCUGUGCAGCUCUUUGUGGAAAUAUUUACGCCCAAAGAAAAGGGUCCCUUUCAGCUCUAGGAUGUUGUAAUACAAACAUUUACUAUAAAUGAAGUGCUUUGUGAAUACACUUGCCCAUUCCCUCAGAAAGCUUCUGGUACCUGAUUUUACCUAAACACCUCUUUUUGCUGCAUAGGUUUGGCGAAAAGGUAAAUAUCCCGUGAUUCACCUCACUAGAAAGGAACCAAAUGUAUAUUGGAUGUAAGUCAGUUUUAUUAAGGAGCCUCAAAGUAUUAACAACAAGAACAACAACAAAACUUAAAGACCCACAAGCCUGGUGAGCAGCUUUCACGGAACUCAGCGGUCCUCCUGAGAGCCACCACCUCGGGCCCUCGCGUAAUUGUGAACCCUGGUGUCCUGGAAGUCAGCAGCAGGGUCAACAGGUGAUUUAGCAAUCGUUAUUAAAGUCCCGACUUGCACACAGUUGGAUUCUGUUUCAAUGUAGCCUCAUUAUUUUUCUCAGGCCCUUGUACCACGUCUGCUCACCUGAUUUAUUUAUUUUUUAUAUUUUAUGUUUUUUAUUUAUUUUUGAGAGACAGAGAGAGACAGCGUGAG
Long non-coding RNA from Suricata suricatta (meerkat), 1747 nucleotides. The record is from Ensembl. Lineage: Eukaryota; Metazoa; Chordata; Mammalia; Carnivora; Herpestidae.